RNAcentral lists this ribosomal RNA (339 nucleotides) under Anelosimus lamarcki. Its description in RNAcentral is "partial 16S ribosomal RNA". Lineage: Eukaryota; Metazoa; Arthropoda; Arachnida; Araneae; Theridiidae. The record is from RNAcentral.
UUUGUUUUUUAAUUAAAAACUAGAAUGAAAGAUUUUACAUUUUAAUUUCUUUAUUAAAUAUAAUACAUUAACUUAUAUUAAAUAUAAAAAUAUAUUUAUAAAAUAAAAAGACGACAAGACCCUAUUAAAUUUUACUUAUUGUUUAGCUGGGGCAGCUUUUUAAAUAAAACUUUAAAAUUUAUAAUAUAAUAAUAUAUCUAUACUAAAAUUAAAAAAUCUAUUAUAAAUAAAUUAAUCUAAUUACUAUAGGGAUAACAGCGUUAUAUUUUUUUCAAGUUCAUAUUUAAAAAAAUCAUUGCGACCUCGAUGUUGAAUUAUAUUUCUUUAUUAAUGCAAUAA